AGAGUUUGAUCAUGGCUCAGGACGAACGCUGGCGGCGUGCCUAAUACAUGCAAGUCGAGCGGAUUUCAUCGGGAGCUUGCUCCCGAUGGGGUUAGCGGCGGACGGGUGAGUAACACGUAGGUAACCUGCCUGCAAGACUGGGAUAACAUUCGGAAACGAAUGCUAAGACCGGAUACACAAGUUUGGGGCAUCUUGAACUU
Molecule: ribosomal RNA, 200 nt
Filed under: uncultured bacterium
Lineage: Bacteria
Description: partial 16S ribosomal RNA
Rfam family: Bacterial small subunit ribosomal RNA
Source: RNAcentral